Arabis alpina (gray rockcress) is the source of this 77-nucleotide non-coding RNA. The record is from Rfam. NCBI's taxonomy places the organism in Eukaryota, Viridiplantae, Streptophyta, Magnoliopsida, Brassicales, Brassicaceae.
UUAUUGCCUGUGAUGGUAUUAAAUAUACUUUGAGAGCUAUGUCUCUAUGAACAUCAAAAACAACUCUGAGGCUUUUU